Molecule: transfer RNA, 76 nt
Filed under: Candidatus Nomurabacteria bacterium RBG_16_40_11
Lineage: Bacteria; Candidatus Nomuraibacteriota
Also listed under: 7 other names
Description: tRNA-Thr
Rfam family: tRNA
About the family: Transfer RNA (tRNA) molecules are approximately 80 nucleotides in length. Their secondary structure includes four short double-helical elements and three loops (D, anti-codon, and T loops). Further hydrogen bonds mediate the characteristic L-shaped molecular structure. tRNAs have two regions of fundamental functional importance: the anti-codon, which is responsible for specific mRNA codon recognition, and the 3' end, to which the tRNAs corresponding amino acid is attached (by aminoacyl-tRNA synthetases). tRNAs cope with the degeneracy of the genetic code in two manners: having more than one tRNA (with a specific anti-codon) for a particular amino acid; and 'wobble' base-pairing, i.e. permitting non-standard base-pairing at the 3rd anti-codon position.
Source: RNAcentral
GCCGGCAUAGCUCAGUUGGUAGAGCACUUCUUUUGUAAAGAAGAUGUCCGGGGUUCGAUCCCUCGUGCCGGCUCCA